This 488-nucleotide ribosomal RNA is filed under the name uncultured bacterium. RNAcentral describes it as "bacterial SSU rRNA". It matches the Rfam family "Bacterial small subunit ribosomal RNA", at positions 501 to 987 of the family's 1533-position model. The record is from RNAcentral.
CUACGUGCCAGCAGCCGCGGUAAUACGUAGGUCCCGAGCGUUGUCCGGAUUUAUUGGGCGUAAAGCGAGCGCAGGCGGUUAGAUAAGUCUGAAGUUAAAGGCUGUGGCUUAACCAUAGUACGCUUUGGAAACUGUUUAACUUGAGUGCAAGAGGGGAGAGUGGAAUUCCAUGUGUAGCGGUGAAAUGCGUAGAUAUAUGGAGGAACACCGGUGGCGAAAGCGGCUCUCUGGCUUGUAACUGACGCUGAGGCUCGAAAGCGUGGGGAGCGAACAGGAUUAGAUACCCUGGUAGUCCAUGCCGUAAACGUUGGGCACUAGGUGUGGGGGACAUUCCACGUUUUCCGCGCCGUAGCUAACGCAUUAAGUGCCCCGCCUGGGGAGUACGGCCGCAAGGCUAAAACUCAAAGAAAUUGACGGGGGCCCGCACAAGCGGCGGAGCAUGCGGAUUAAUUCGAUGCAACGCGAAGAACCUUACCAAGGCUUGACAU